RNAcentral lists this transfer RNA (75 nucleotides) under Evtepia gabavorous. RNAcentral describes it as "tRNA-Trp". It matches the Rfam family "tRNA". Rfam says of the family: Transfer RNA (tRNA) molecules are approximately 80 nucleotides in length. RNAcentral also lists the same sequence under 1 other name. Lineage: Bacteria; Bacillati; Bacillota; Clostridia; Eubacteriales. The record is from RNAcentral.
AGGAACGUAGCUCAAGUGGUAGAGCAGCGGUCUCCAAAACCGCGUAUCCGGGUUCGAGUCCUGGCGGUCCUGCCA